UACGGAGGGCGCAAGCGUUGUUCGGAAUUACUGGGCGUAAAGCGCGUGUAGGCGGCUCGACAAGUCGGGUGUGAAAUCCCGGAGCUCAACUCCGGAACUGCAUCCGAUACUGUCGAGCUAGAGUCUCGGAGAGGAUGGCGGAAUUUCCGGUGUAGAGGUGAAAUUCGUAGAUAUCGGAAGGAACACCAGUGGCGAAGGCGGCCGUCUGGACGAUGACUGACGCUGAGACGAGAAAGCGUGGGGAGCAAACAGG
RNAcentral lists this ribosomal RNA (253 nucleotides) under uncultured bacterium. RNAcentral describes it as "partial 16S ribosomal RNA". It matches the Rfam family "Bacterial small subunit ribosomal RNA", at positions 524 to 776 of the family's 1533-position model. The record is from RNAcentral.